This 440-nucleotide ribosomal RNA is filed under the name uncultured bacterium. Its description in RNAcentral is "partial 16S ribosomal RNA". It matches the Rfam family "Bacterial small subunit ribosomal RNA", at positions 338 to 795 of the family's 1533-position model. The record is from RNAcentral.
CCUACGUGAGGCAGCAGUAGGGAAUAGUGCUCAAUGGGGGAAACCCUGAAGCAGCAACGCCGCGUGGAGGAUGAAGGUUUUCGGAUUGUAAACUCCUUUUGUUAGAGAAGAAAAUGACGGUAACUAACGAAUAAGCACCGGCUAACCCCGUGCCAGCAGCCGCGGUAAUACGGAGGGUGCAAGCGUUACUCGGAACCACUGGGCGUAAAGAGCGCGUAGGCGGGAUAGCAAGUCAGAUGUGAAAUCCUAUGGCUUAACCAUAGAACUGCAUUUGAAACUGUUAUUCUAGAGUAUGGGAGAGGUAGGUGGAAUUCUUGGUGUAGGGGUCACAUCCGUAGAGAUCAAGAGGAAUACUCAUUGCGACGGCGACCUGCUAGAACAUACCUGACGCUGAUGCGCGAACGCGUGGGGAGCAAACAGGAUUAGAUACCCGUGUAGUC